UAGGGGAGAGCGGUCAGAAUGUGGUAAGAAUGGGAAGUAUGUCAUAAUAAAAAGCGUUGACAGAACUAGUAAGUGUUUAGUUUGUAAAAAGGAGGUGUGAAGGAAAUGUGGUUGCUCUUUUCAUAUACUUGAGGGUAUGUCAUGAAUAGAGGCAUUUGAUUUAUUCUGAGCUGCUCUUAGAGGUUGAUCCAGGACCAAUAGAUAUACAUAUCAAUUAUACAGAUUCAACGGAGGAAGGGCUUGCUGAACAGGAGAUGUUAAAAAAUACCAUGGGUGGCCUAGAGAGAAAAUAAGCAUCCCUCUUCAUAACUGCUUAAGCAGAGACUGCCUAACCACAGAUACUGAAAGACUGUCAAGUAUAAUGGACUCUGAGCAACGUGAUGGAGUGCACAGGACAUCCUCAUUCAGUGAUGUAUCCCCAGUAAAUGGUCCAAAGAAUCCAGCAGAGAACACAGUCUCAGUAGAGCCAUAAAGACAUGGACUGUCCUGGGAUGUUUGCUAAACUGUCUGGCUAAAUCAGAUUGAUGACUUAUGGAGGCAAAGUGAACCAACAUGGAAAAUAAUCUAUCUACUUUCCAGAACAUUCCUCCAAAUAAUCAAUAAAGGCUGAUACUUCACACAGAUAUAGUGGGAUGCCUAAACUGAGUAUUUUAGGACAGCCAAAUGUUGAAAGUGUUUUAUGUGCCUGUGGCAUAAUUUUAACCUUUCUUUGCCUCUGCUAACCUGCUAGACAGGUUUAAUACCUGGUUCGGUAUGUCUCUACAAGUCCCUGUGUGUCUGCCUGUGUGUUUUAAGUUUACCUGUUU
Molecule: non-coding RNA, 806 nt
Organism: Macaca mulatta (Rhesus monkey)
Lineage: Eukaryota; Metazoa; Chordata; Mammalia; Primates; Cercopithecidae
Source: RefSeq, a predicted model, not a curated record